GAUGAAGAACGCAGCGAAAUGCGAUAAGUAGUGUGAAUUGCAGAAUUCAGUGAAUCAUCGAAUCUUUGAACGCACCUUGCACCCUUUGGCAUUCCGAAGGGUAUGCUCGUUUGAGUGUCAUUGUACUCUCACACUUCCGAUCUUUCGAUUGGGAGCGGUGGACUUGGGUGUUGCUGCUUUACUGUGGCUCACCUCAAAUGGAGUAGUGCAACUCUUGGUUGGACAUAGUACGGCGUGAUAAGUGUCUUCGCCGGCACCUCAUAGAGGGUGGCUGAUCAGGAGCUCUGUGCUUCAAACCGUCUUCGGACAACCUCUGACAACUUGACCUCAAAUCGAGUAGGACCACCCGCUGAACUUAAGCAUAUCAAUAAGCGGAGGA
Molecule: unclassified non-coding RNA, 379 nt
Filed under: soil metagenome
Description: partial contains 5.8S ribosomal RNA, internal transcribed spacer 2, and large subunit ribosomal RNA
Rfam family: 5.8S ribosomal RNA (bases 1-120)
Source: RNAcentral